AUGCAAGUCGAGCGAAUGGAUUAAGAGCUUGCUCUUAUGAAGUUAGCGGCGGACGGGUGAGUAACACGUGGGUAACCUACCCAUAAGACUGGGAUAACUCCGGGAAACCGGGGCUAAUACCGGAUAAUAUUUUGAACUGCAUAGUUCGAAAUUGAAAGGCGGCUUCGGCUGUCACUUAUGGAUGGACCCGCGUCGCAUUAGCUAGUUGGUGAGGUAACGGCUCACCAAGGCGACGAUGCGUAGCGACCUGAGAGGGUGAUCGGCCACACUGGGACUGAGACACGGCCCAGACUCCUACGGGAGGCAGCAGUAGGGAAUCUUCCGCAAUGGACGAAAGUCUGACGGAGCAACGCCGCGUGAGUGAUGAAGGCUUUCGGGUCGUAAAACUCUGUUGUUAGGGAAGAACAAGUGCUAGUUGAAUAAGCUGGCACCUUGACGGUACCUAACCAGAAAGCCACGGCUAACUACGUGCCAGCAGCCGCGGUAAUACGUAGGUGGCAAGCGUUAUCCGGAAUUAUUGGGCGUAAAGCGCGCGCAGGUGGUUUCUUAAGUCUGAUGUGAAAGCCCACGGCUCAACCGUGGAGGGUCAUUGGAAACU
This 598-nucleotide ribosomal RNA is filed under the name Bacillus sp. Bt 28. RNAcentral describes it as "bacterial SSU rRNA". It matches the Rfam family "Bacterial small subunit ribosomal RNA", at positions 55 to 634 of the family's 1533-position model. The record is from RNAcentral. Lineage: Bacteria; Bacillati; Bacillota; Bacilli; Caryophanales; Bacillaceae.